GCCCGGUUAGCUCAGUCGGUAGAGCAUCAGACUUUUAAAACUGCAUUCAUCACAGACAUCUGAGGGUCAAGGGUUCAAGUCCCUUAUUGGGCG
Molecule: transfer RNA, 93 nt
Filed under: Capitella teleta
Lineage: Eukaryota; Metazoa; Annelida; Polychaeta; Capitellidae
Description: tRNA-Lys for anticodon UUU
Rfam family: tRNA
About the family: Transfer RNA (tRNA) molecules are approximately 80 nucleotides in length. Their secondary structure includes four short double-helical elements and three loops (D, anti-codon, and T loops).
Source: Rfam by way of RNAcentral